This is an RNA transcript of Nomascus leucogenys (northern white-cheeked gibbon), 1319 nucleotides long. It is a transcript of the gene named myosin phosphatase Rho-interacting protein pseudogene, with no coding region annotated. The transcript is spliced from 2 exons. NCBI's taxonomy places the organism in Eukaryota, Metazoa, Chordata, Mammalia, Primates, Hylobatidae. The record is from RefSeq and is a predicted model, not a curated record.
AUGGACUAUGGCGGACAGUUUUGGGAGAUGCAGUUCGCCGACCUCCAAAUGUCCUUGUAUAUUCUUGUCUGUAAUAAAACUAAUAAACAAAAUUUAAAAAAAAUUUUAAAGGUGCCCAUCGCCCCCAUCCACCUGUCUUCUGAAGAUGGGGGUGACCGGCUCUCCACACACAAGCUGACCUCUUGGCUCGAGAAGGAGCUGAAGCAGAGCCAGAAGGAGGCCUCAGACCUUCUGGAGCAGAACUGGCUCCUGCAGGACCAGCUGAGGGUGGCCCUGGGCCAGGAGCAGAGCGCCUGUGAGGGCUACAGUUUGCAGCAAUGGAAGAAACGCACCAGAAGAAGAUUGAAGAUCUGCAGAGGCAGCACCAGUGGGAGCUAGAGAAACUUCGGGAAGAGAAAGACCGCCUCCUAGCCGAGGAGACAGCGGCCACCAUCUCAGCCAUCGAAGCCAUGAAGAACACCCACCGGGAGGAGAUGGAGCGGGAGCUGAAGAAGAGCCAGCGGUCCCAGAUCAGCAGCGUCAACUCGGAUGUUGAGGCCCUGCGGCGCCAGUACCUGGAGGAGCUGCAGUCGGUGCAGCGGGAACUGGAGGUCCUCUCAGAGCAGUACUUGCAGAAGUGCCUGGAGAAUGCCCACCUGGCCCAGGCGCUGGAGGCCGAGCGGCAGGCCCUGUGGCAGUGCCAGCGUGAGAACCAGGAGCUCAAUGCCCACAACCAGGAGCUGAACAACCGCCUGGCUGCAGAGAUUACACGGUUGCGGACGCUGCUGACUGGGGACGGCGGUGGGGAGGCCACUGGGUCACCCCUUGCACAGGGCAAGGAUGCCUAUGAACUAGAGGUCUUAUGCGGGUAAAGGAAUCGGAAAUGUAGUACCUGAAACAGGAGAUUAGCUCCCUCAAGGGUGAGCUGCAGACGGCACUGCGGGACAACAAGCACUCAAGUGACAAGUACAAAGACAUCUACACAGAACUCAGCAUCGCGAAGGCUAAGGCUGUGACAUCAGCAGGCUGAAGGAGCAGCUCAAGGCUGCAACGGAAGCGCUGGGGGAAAAGUCCCCUGACAGUGCCACGGUGUCCGGAUAUGAUAUAAUGAAAUCUAAAAGCAACCCUGACUUCUUGAAGACAGACAGAUCCUGUGUCACCCGGCAACUCAGAAACAUCAGGUCCAAGUGUACGGCACCUGUUCUACCUGGGAAUGCAAACCCUGAGCUGCAAAUAAGAACACAGACGUGGGAGACACCACAGCCUGAAGCUGCUCUCCUCUUCCCUCCUCUCCUCCAGUCCCAUAUUGGGUUACGCUGAGCCAGCAAUGUGCACGCACU